This 253-nucleotide ribosomal RNA is filed under the name uncultured bacterium. RNAcentral describes it as "partial 16S ribosomal RNA". It matches the Rfam family "Bacterial small subunit ribosomal RNA", at positions 524 to 776 of the family's 1533-position model. The record is from RNAcentral.
UACGUAGGUGGCAAGCGUUGUCCGGAUUUAUUGGGUUUAAAGGGUGCGUAGGCGGUUCCAUAAGUCAGUGGUGAAAUACGGCAGCUCAACUGUCGAGGUGCCAUUGAUACUGCGGAACUUGAGUACUGAUGAGGUAGGCGGAAUUGACGGUGUAGCGGUGAAAUGCUUAGAUAUCGUCAAGAACACCGAUAGCGAAGGCAGCUUACCAAGCAGUAACUGACGCUGAGGCACGAAAGUGCGGGGAGCAAACAGG